UUGAAACCAACAAAUAAUCAGUAACAGUCUCUAAUAAAUAUGAAAUAAAUCGCAAUUUCCUUGUCCAUAAAAAAGGCUCCAGUGGAUUGGUGGCAAGUCAUCGUUUAAAGUCCAUGAAUAAGAUGAAUCCGAAUCCAAUUGGAUAUUUCGAGAUAUUCCUUUAUGGUCGUGUCGUGUUUUGUGUUCGGUUAUUUUCGUGGUGUCGCGUUGCUUCGUAUUAUACUAUUAGACUAAAAAUAUGCAAUAUGAUGUGGAGAAACUGAUCAAAUCUGGAUGAAAAUCAAAGAGGAAGGAGCAGGACUACAAUGGUUGAAACCAACAAACGGCCAUUAAACACUCCUGAUAAAUACAAACAAUGAUGUGAAUUCCAGUCAUUAUCUUUCAAGAGCUAUCUCCUAGUGCAUGAAAAAGCCUGCGGGGAAUAUAGGUGUCUAGUCAUCUUUUAAAGUCCACGCAAAAAUUAAUCAGAAUCCAAUUGGAUCGAUCAACAUAGAAUUCAUGGUUGAACUUUUGCAAAAACAACAAAUAUUGGAGCCAUCUCAAAAGCAUAUAAUAAGAAAAAAAAAAAAAACAAACAAAACGUUCACAAAUCUCAAAACAUUCGCGAACUUUACGGUCGGGUCGAAAAAAUGUAUUUGUGUCUAUUUUAUGUUCGGUUAUUUCGGUGUUGUCGCAUUUAUUUCGUGUUUUCGCCGGUUCGUUCGAUGUCGCUUGGUAUUAGACUUACACGGAUGUCUCUAAAAAAAGUGGAGACAAAAAAUAGGCAAUUUCAAACUGAUCAAAUCUGGGUGAAAAUCAAAGAAGAGUUAAGGCUACAAUGAUUGAAACCGACAAACAGCCAGUAAAAACUAUGAUGUGAAUUCCAGUCACUAUAUUUCAAGAUCAAUUACCUUGUGCAUGACAAAGGCUUCGGUGAAAAGGUGUCAUCUUGUUAUUUAAAAUCCACGAAGAAAUUGAAUCUGAAUCCAAUUGGAUUCGAUAUACAGUAUCAUAAGAUUAAAAUUCUACCAAAAUUGAAUUUAAGUUUAAACUUUAAAAGAACAUUAAUAACACCUCAACAAUCUUCAACACAAAAAAUUAAAAGCCUUGCAAAAGUAUGGAUUAUGAUCUUAAAGCCUAUAGUUCUAAUCGGUUAAUGUUUGGACUUCUGUUCGUGAAAAUGCAUAAAUGUGUUCAAAAAGAAAAAAAAUAAACAGUUAACUAUUUCAAGAGUAUAAACAAUGACUCUCAUUAGAACUGA
Long non-coding RNA from Musca domestica (house fly), 1240 nucleotides. RefSeq lists it as uncharacterized. Lineage: Eukaryota; Metazoa; Arthropoda; Insecta; Diptera; Muscidae. The record is from RefSeq and is a predicted model, not a curated record. The transcript has 3 exons.